Molecule: long non-coding RNA, 1164 nt
Filed under: Pogona vitticeps (central bearded dragon)
Lineage: Eukaryota; Metazoa; Chordata; Lepidosauria; Squamata; Agamidae
Description: lncRNA (ENSPVIG00000007145.1)
Source: RNAcentral
GGGGCUCUGGGGUGACGGAACUCAGGAUGGGAAGGGGGCGGAUAGAGCUUCUCUGCAUUGCCCUAGGCACGCCUGUACGUGUGGAUGCCCGCCAAAAUGCGAGCAGUUCCAGGCACCACGACGUACGUGGGAAGGCUCACUACAGCGUGUCAGGCGUGUGCUCACGUUGGGGGUUUGAGCCGUGGGCAGAGAUGGAGACUUGACCUGCUCCUCCCCGUUGAUUAGAGAGUAAGGUAACGGAGGAGACGGUUCGGGAGGACCUCCUUUCCUCCUCUUUCGGUUUCCCGAAUGCCUGUCAAGAAGCGGCGGCGGCGGCGGCAGCAGAGGCGAGCGAAAGCGGCUGAGUCCAGCUCUGACAUCAUCAUCAUCAUCUCCCGGGGAGGGCGGGCGCCUCCGUGCGCGCAAGUGGGGCGCUGCCUCGACCCCCUUCUUGCUGCCUCCCCAAAGGGAGAGCCGCUGGGAGCACAAAAUGCAAGACAAGGAAUUCUGCCGCAGCCGCAUCCCUCGCCUGGUCCUCCGACCUCAUCUCCCUCAGCAACAUCCCCAUCACCAGAAAGUGUCCCCAGCUUCUGAGUCCCCCUUCUCUGAAGAGGAAAGCAGAGACUUCAACCCCUUGACUGUUUCUGAGAAAUGAACUGUACAUGACAGACAGCCUAUCAUUAGUAGCUGAAAUCACUUGGUGUUCCAAAGACAUGAUUCAGGCAGACCUUCAUGACUGAGCAGCCAUAUUUGGAAAUGAAGUCUGUGCUUAUCUCCAAAUAACCAAUCACAACCCAAAGCAAUCUCAUAUGCAGAAUCCAGAAGGUAUAAAAAGUUCUUGUUGUGAGAAUUAGACAUGCCCAACGUUUAAGGAAAUAUGCCUCUUCUAAUGAUAGGCUAUCAGCAGUGAAUAAGGUGGCCAUCAUAUAUGCUGGUGGCAGAACAUUGCCAGCAUGGCUAGUAGUCACUGAUAGCCUUAAUGUCUACAGAUUUGUCUAAGCUCCAUCUGAAGUUGUCCAAGCUGGCUGCCAUGCCUGUGUCUCCUAGAAGCAAAACCAAAAAAUCAGCUAUGUUCUGUGUGAAUUCAUUAGAUGUGCCCAUAUUUUGCCAUUACAGCCUAAUAUUAUGGUAACCUUCUCUGCUCAGAUAGAACGAAUAAAUUUUUGAAGGAGUAAAGAAGUAGCA